RNAcentral lists this transfer RNA (74 nucleotides) under bacterium SCSIO 12741. Its description in RNAcentral is "tRNA-His". It matches the Rfam family "tRNA". Rfam says of the family: Transfer RNA (tRNA) molecules are approximately 80 nucleotides in length. Their secondary structure includes four short double-helical elements and three loops (D, anti-codon, and T loops). The record is from RNAcentral.
GUGGCUAUAGCUCAGUCGGUUAGAGCGCUAGAUUGUGGUUCUAGAGGUCGCCGGUUCGAUUCCGGUUAGCCACC